UUCAAAUCAACUAGUAUUACUUAUUAUAUAACAGAGAGCUAUGAGGUUGUAAUGGAUUAUUUCGGCCACUUUAUUUCUGGAAAAUAUGUAAUCUAAUAAUGUGGGAACCAAUGGUGUAUCAGGGUUUCUUUUUUGGCAAUUUACUCCCGUCAACUUGCACUGCGUUAAAAGUUAGACCAAGUUAUUUUGGGAAUCCGCCUGACCAUGUCUUAUCAUACAGGGGGGAAAUGAAGUAACAAUCCCCUGCUUCUUUGUUGGACCAUUUCGAAUAUUUUUCAUCGCAGGGUAUGGCUUACUACCAGCGCAAACCGCUCUGGUGACAGGAGGACUAUGGGCUAUGUGUAGGUCAAGGAAUUCUGCACCCUAACAGCGCAAGGCGUUAUGUUGCCUUGAACCUCCUAGAGACAUCGUACAAUAGUAAAGGCUGGCAACACUUACUUACAUUGAUCUUCGCUUCCUAUUUGUUUUGUAUAACCGGACAUUGACACUGGUUAAAACAUUUUUUUGGGACAACAGUAAAAAGAAUGUAAAAAAAAGAGACAUUUUAGAAUCUGGGGAUAUUCAAAUGGACAUGAAAAAAACAAUGAACUAACUAGUUCAUUGUUUUUUUCAUGCCCAAUAGAUUGUCCUAGAGCUCGAGGUAGGGUUUUACACCAAAUAGGACUCACACCAGGUAGCGUUGUCAGUGUUACUAAUGUUAUGGUUCCCUAACUACCUAUUUGCUCCUGCCCUAAUCCACACUUUGUGAGAAUCUGAAUGUCCUCCCCCACUCCACUGCGGUUCUAGGCUGUGGUCAGGCAACUCUUUCUUGUGUUGGUAGUCAACAUGUGUCAAUGGGGAACUUGCAUCUCCGCAGCAUAAGAUGGAAACACCUGGAGUGAACACAUUUCCUGUGGAUGACGUUGAAUGGAGGUCUGCUGCCACAAUAUUAAACAUGUUCAGGUCAAUAUGUGAUCUUGUACAGCAAUAUAUAAUUUGAAUAUAAUUGAAAAAGAUUAAUUAAUAUAUAAAACAUAAGAAAACAUAGCUUUAUGAAUUACCUGCAUGCAUAACCAUGCUGUAAAAAAUCUAUUGAUACCCUUUUCAACUAUAUUGAGACUUCAAUGAUUAUCGGUUAUUUUGGGGGGUAUGUUAAUAACUCACAAAAUGAAUGAUUCCUGGUUACAAUGUAAUUUCUAAUAAAAAAUAGGCCUAUGUUGAUAAUGACAGAUAUUGCAUAUCACACACUGCAUCUGCAACCAUAAAGCCGCAUCGUAAACCUAGGUUUCAAAUCAUAAACAUAUGCAUAGAUAUUUUACCGCAAUAGAUUAGCCCCUUCACAAAUCCCAUGCAAAUAAUAUGAAAGUAUUCUUAUCCAUUUCCCUGAGUGACAUGUCUAACACAAGGAUGUGUUCUCUGUAUAGAGGAUAAGAGUGAGGGCUUUUGCACAACAGACCACAACAGUGAUCAGAGUAAGAGGUUUUUGUACGAGGAUAUAUCACUGUGUCCACCCCACUGUAUACACUGUGAUACAUGUAAUGACAAAAACCUACACAACGGACGUGCCUGCUUAAGCGAAGGCUAUGUAUGUUUCGGAGAGGGAUAAUGUUCCACAUGUGAAUAUUCAGAGACAAAAGGUAAACAAGCGUGCACUCAGAAUGUGGUUCAUAUAGCAUCACCCGAACACAGGUAAGAAUUAAGUUUAUAAUGGAAAUGGGCGGAAUGGGUAAUAAGCCACGCCUAUGUGUUCUGAUUCAUCCUGGUAAACCUUCGGUCGGCCUUGGCCUGGGCGGAAUGGCAAGAGGCCAUACCUGGAGGUUCUGACUUAUCUCAAACCCUUAAAUAUAUGUAGAUAGUGUUGUGUUCACCACUCUACUGUAAUUGUGGAAGAAAGAAGCUAUUCAGAACGGCUUGUAAGGCUAAUCACACUCACACUUGGUGGUAUACUAUGUCUCAUUUAAUCCAACCAGUAACACAGAAGAAAAGGUGGAAACUAAACAAUGAGUGCCACUACAGUUAGAAUUCACAUUAUAUGUUUUUGGAAUGCGGUUGUUUUUGUAGUCCAGUAGUAGAAGUGAUUACAUAAAAAAAAAAAAAAAUCAUAAUCACCCUGUCGACAAAAUACAAAUGAAAUGUAAACACUUUCAAAAUACCAAUUAAGUUUCAAGCGUUUAAAGAACAUUCAAUAUUCCUCUUCUCUGGGUUGCAAUUAUUAGAAUGUAAGCACCAAUACACGGACAUACACGCAUGUUAAUUGGCUAUUUGGUUACUUAAAGGAUCCCCACUGAUGCAUGGCAAUCAGCCCAUCUUCUUGGGGUCCGCACCUGACAUACUGUACAUGACACAGUACGUGUGAAAACUUAAAUUGCAUUAAUAUACAUUAAAUUACAUAAAUAAUAAUUUAUAUAAAAAAUGUAAAUCUAACGUUGAUAUGAAAGAAAUUAAAUAAAAUAAAUAAAUAAUUACAUUCCUAUUCAUUGCCAGUCAACACCGAUGAUUAGGUAGAAUACACAAAAAAAAGUAUAAAUAUAGCUGAUAUUUAAGACAAAUUACAAUUAUUCAACCCACAUGAAGCAGAACACAAAUAUUAAACACUAGUCCAGAGUUAUACCUCCUACUAUUCAGUCUGGGUUUGAUGUCCACUGAUUACCUUGAGGCAUCGUGGAGCAAGAUUCCUCUCUGGUCCUUAAUUACCUGUAUCUGAAUUCACUGCAUCUCACUUUGGAUAAAAGUGACUGCUCAAUGACUGAUUGGUAGAAGGCAGAAUGGUAACGCUCAUGGUAUUAAAGCUUAAAAGUAUUGAUGUGAUUAAUGGGGUUAAAUUGGAUCAUUAUUUCCCUGUAAUGCAAUCUCAAUCUAUAUUCUGUACUGUGUCUAUAGCACAAUAAUCUCUUUAGCACAAUACAAAAGAGCUGAGUCCUCAGCUUCAGACUCUUCUCAUUUAAGUAAGCCUCCUCUUGGCUGCUGUCUUUGGUGAGGGUGAACUGCUCUUGAAGAGAUGCAUCCCCUUUAUGAGCGAUCGGCGCUUGUUCCAUUGCGGAUUGCUAUUAUGAUGGCGGAUUGCCAGGCGCACGCCAAGAAAGGUUCACAACAGAUGAUGUCCAGAGGAGGGAGAAAAUAAUUUAUUUUUCGGCUAAAUUUCCUUUAAAUCUUUGCAACUUUUCAUUUUUCAUUUUGUUUUAUUUUUUUUCAUUUACGCCUACGAACAUUUGGACAAGUCGAAUAAAAAAUGUCUCAAGGACAUACUAUACUUUC
Gadus morhua (Atlantic cod) is the source of this 3234-nucleotide long non-coding RNA. RefSeq lists it as uncharacterized. The transcript is spliced from 2 exons. Lineage: Eukaryota; Metazoa; Chordata; Actinopteri; Gadiformes; Gadidae. The record is from RefSeq and is a predicted model, not a curated record.